CUGGGUUUUUUGUUUUCUAGGAGUUGGCCUGGGCCCUGCCCUGGAGUUUUGUAUUGCCGUCAACCCCAGCAUCCUUCCCACUGCUUUCAUGGGCACAGCAAUGAUCUUUACCUGCUUCACCCUCAGUGCACUCUAUGCCAGGCGCCGUAGCUACCUCUUUCUGGGAGGUAUCUUGAUGUCAGCCCUGAGCUUGUUGCUUUUGUCUUCCCUGGGGAAUGUUUUCUUUGGAUCCAUUUGGCUUUUCCAGGCAAACCUGUAUGUGGGACUGGUGGUCAUGUGUGGCUUCGUCCUUUUUGAUACUCAACUCAUUAUUGAAAAGGCCGAACAUGGAGAUCAAGAUUAUAUCUGGCACUGCAUUGAUCUCUUCUUAGAUUUCAUUACUCUCUUCAGAAAACUCAUGAUGAUCCUGGCCAUGAAUGAAAAGGUUA
Molecule: small RNA, 428 nt
Filed under: Pan troglodytes (chimpanzee)
Lineage: Eukaryota; Metazoa; Chordata; Mammalia; Primates; Hominidae
Description: retained intron
Source: RNAcentral